Molecule: ribosomal RNA, 253 nt
Filed under: uncultured bacterium
Lineage: Bacteria
Description: partial 16S ribosomal RNA
Rfam family: Bacterial small subunit ribosomal RNA
Source: RNAcentral
UACGGAGGGUGCAAGCGUUAAUCGGAAUUACUGGGCGUAAAGCGUGUGUAGGUGGUGACAUAAGUCGGAUGUGAAAGCCCUGGGCUCAACCUGGGAAUGGCAUUCGAUACUGUGUGACUAGAGUUUAGUAGAGGGAAGUGGAAUUCCAGGUGUAGCGGUGAAAUGCGUAGAGAUCUGGAGGAACAUCAGUGGCGAAGGCGACUUACUGGACCAAUACUGACACUGAGGUGCGAAAGCGUGGGGAGCAAACAGG